ACACUCCUACGGGAGGCAGCAGUGGGGAAUUUUGGACAAUGGGCGAAAGCCUGAUCCAGCAAUGCCGCGUGUGUGAAGAAGGCCUUCGGGUUGUAAAGCACUUUUGUCCGGAAAGAAAUCCUUGGCUCUAAUACAGUCGGGGGAUGACGGUACCGGAAGAAUAAGCACCGGCUAACUACGUGCCAGCAGCCGCGGUAAUACGUAAGGUGCGAGCGUUAAUCGGAAUUACUGGGCGUAAAGCGUGCGCAGGCGGUUUGCUAAGACCGAUGUGAAAUCCCCGGGCUCAACCUGGGAACUGCAUUGGUGACUGGCAGGCUAGAGUAUGGCAGAGGGGGGUAGAAUUCCACGUGUAGCAGUGAAAUGCGUAGAGAUGUGGAGGAAUACCGAUGGCGAAGGCAGCCCCCUGGGCCAAUACUGACGCUCAUGCACGAAAGCGUGGGGAGCAAACAGGAUUAGAAACCCCGGUAGUCCC
RNAcentral lists this ribosomal RNA (472 nucleotides) under uncultured organism. RNAcentral describes it as "partial 16S ribosomal RNA". It matches the Rfam family "Bacterial small subunit ribosomal RNA", at positions 333 to 797 of the family's 1533-position model. The record is from RNAcentral.